This 508-nucleotide ribosomal RNA is filed under the name uncultured bacterium. RNAcentral's name for it is "partial 16S ribosomal RNA". It matches the Rfam family "Bacterial small subunit ribosomal RNA", at positions 30 to 523 of the family's 1533-position model. The record is from RNAcentral.
AUUGAACGCUGGCGGCAUGCCUUACACAUGCAAGUCGAACGGCAGCGGGGGAGAAGCUUGCUUUUCCUGCCGGCGAGUGGCGAACGGGCGAGUAGUACAUCGGAACGUGCCCUGUAGUGGGGGAUAACUAGUCGAAAGAUUAGCUAAUACCGCAUACGACCUGAGGGUGAAAGUGGGGGACCGCAAGGCCUCAUGCUAUAGGAGCGGCCGAUGUCUGAUUAGCUAGUUGGUGGGGUAAAGGCCUACCAAGGCGACGGUCAGUAGCUGGUCUGAGAGGACGAUCAGCCACACUGGGACUGAGACACGGCCCAGACUCCUACGGGAGGCAGCGGUGGGGAAUUUUGGACAAUGGGCGAAAGCCUGAUCCAGCAAUGCCGCGUGUGUGAAGAAGGCCUUCGGGUCGUAAAGCACUUUUGUCCGGAAAGAAAUGGCUCUGGUUAAUACCUGGGGUCGAUGACGGUACCGGAAGAAUAAGGACCGGCUAACUACGUGCCAGCCGCCGCCGUAA